AGGACGAACGCUGGCGGCGCGCUUAACACAUGCAAGUCGAGCGAGAACCCACCUUCGGGUGGGGAAAGCGGCGAACGGGUGAGUAACACGUGGGCAACCUACCCUCAGCUCUGGGAUAACCCCGGGAAACCGGAGCUAAUACCGGAUAUGACCUUGAACGACAUCGUUCUUGGUGGAAAGUUUUUCGGCUGAGGAUGGGCCCGCGGCCUAUCAGCUUGUUGGCGGGGUAAUGGCCCACCAAGGCGACGACGGGUAG
RNAcentral lists this ribosomal RNA (256 nucleotides) under uncultured bacterium. RNAcentral's name for it is "partial small subunit ribosomal RNA". It matches the Rfam family "Bacterial small subunit ribosomal RNA", at positions 26 to 286 of the family's 1533-position model. The record is from RNAcentral.